GACAGAGGAGCCAAGCGUUGUCCGGACUGACUGGGCGUAAAGCGCCCGCAGGCGGCCGUGCACGUGGGGUGUGAAAGCUCGCGGCUUAACUGCGAGAGGCCAUCCCAUACGGCGCGGCUCGAGCCGUCCAGAGGCCGGUGGAAUUGCCGGUGUAGUGGUGAAAUGCGUAGAUAUCAGGAGGAACACCGGUGGCGAAGGCGGCUACCUGGACGGAAACUGACGCUGAGGCGCGAAAGCUAGGGGAGCAAACAGG
This 253-nucleotide ribosomal RNA is filed under the name uncultured bacterium. Its description in RNAcentral is "partial 16S ribosomal RNA". It matches the Rfam family "Bacterial small subunit ribosomal RNA", at positions 524 to 776 of the family's 1533-position model. The record is from RNAcentral.